GCCAAUUCUGGGGGAUUGUCAUUUGUCAAUUCCUCUUAGCAUAAUGGCUUGGGUGCAAUAUUGCAAUGUGGCUAUCCUGAUCAAUUUUUCUUUCUAUCUGCACACCAUUAGGUCCCGAAAACAACACAGAAACAU
Molecule: small nucleolar RNA, 135 nt
Organism: Andrographis paniculata
Lineage: Eukaryota; Viridiplantae; Streptophyta; Magnoliopsida; Lamiales; Acanthaceae
Source: RefSeq, a predicted model, not a curated record